This 525-nucleotide ribosomal RNA is filed under the name uncultured bacterium. Its description in RNAcentral is "partial 16S ribosomal RNA". It matches the Rfam family "Bacterial small subunit ribosomal RNA", at positions 355 to 896 of the family's 1533-position model. The record is from RNAcentral.
UGGGGAAUAUUGGACAAUGGGGGCAACCCUGAUCCAGCAAUGCCGCGUGUGUGAAGAAGGUUUUCGGAUUGUAAAGCACUUUCGACGGGGACGAUGAUGACGGUACCCGUAGAAGAAGCCCCGGCUAACUUCGUGCCAGCAGCCGCGGUAAUACGAAGGGGGCUAGCGUUGCUCGGAAUGACUGGGCGUAAAGGGCGUGUAGGCGGUUUGUACAGUCAGAUGUGAAAUCCCCGGGCUUAACCUGGGAGCUGCAUUUGAUACGUGCAGACUAGAGUGUGAGAGAGGGUUGUGGAAUUCCCAGUGUAGAGGUGAAAUUCGUAGAUAUUGGGAAGAACACCGGUGGCGAAGGCGGCAACCUGGCUCAUAACUGACGCUGAGGCGCGAAAAGCGUGGGGAGCAAACAGGAUUAGAUACCCUGGUAGUCCACGCUGUAAACGAUGUGUGCUAGAUGUUGGGUAACUUAGUUAUUCAGUGUCGCAGUUAACGCGUUAAGCACACCGCCUGGGGAGUACGGCCGCAAGGUUG